AUGAACGCUGGCGGCGUGCCUAAUACAUGCAAGUCGAGCGAACGGACGAGAAGCUUGCUUCUCUGAUGUUAGCGGCGGACGGGUGAGUAACACGUGGAUAACCUACCUAUAAGACUGGGAUAACUUCGGGAAACCGGAGCUAAUACCGGAUAAUAUUUUGAACCGCAUGGUUCAAAAGUGAAAGACGGUCUUGCUGUCACUUAUAGAUGGAUCCGCGCUGCAUUAGCUAGUUGGUAAGGUAACGGCUUACCAAGGCAACGAUGCAUAGCCGACCUGAGAGGGUGAUCGGCCACACUGGAACUGAGACACGGUCCAGACUCCUACGGGAGGCAGCAGUAGGGAAUCUUCCGCAAAGGGCGAAAGCCUGACGGAGCAACGCCGCGUGAGUGAUGAAGGUCUUCGGAUCGUAAAACUCUGUUAUUAGGGAAGAACAUAUGUGUAAGUAACUGUGCACAUCUUGUCGGUACCUAAUCAGAAAGCCACGGCUAACUACGUG
This 496-nucleotide ribosomal RNA is filed under the name uncultured bacterium. RNAcentral's name for it is "partial 16S ribosomal RNA". It matches the Rfam family "Bacterial small subunit ribosomal RNA", at positions 29 to 507 of the family's 1533-position model. The record is from RNAcentral.